This is a transfer RNA of Alkalibacterium sp. AK22, 73 nucleotides long. It matches the Rfam family "tRNA". Rfam says of the family: Transfer RNA (tRNA) molecules are approximately 80 nucleotides in length. Their secondary structure includes four short double-helical elements and three loops (D, anti-codon, and T loops). The record is from Rfam. Lineage: Bacteria; Bacillati; Bacillota; Bacilli; Lactobacillales; Carnobacteriaceae.
GCCGGCUUAGCUCAGUUGGUAGAGCAACUGAAGCGUAAUCAGUGGGUCGAGGGUUAAACUCCUUUAGCCAGCA